RNAcentral lists this ribosomal RNA (253 nucleotides) under uncultured bacterium. Its description in RNAcentral is "partial 16S ribosomal RNA". It matches the Rfam family "Bacterial small subunit ribosomal RNA", at positions 524 to 776 of the family's 1533-position model. The record is from RNAcentral.
UACGUAGGGUGCAAGCGUUGUCCGGAAUUACUGGGCGUAAAGCGCGUGUAGGCGGUUAUCCAAGUCGGGUGUGAAAGCCUUGAGCUCAACUCAAGAAAUGCACUCGGUACUGGGUGACUAGAGGACCGGAGAGGAUAGUGGAAUUCCCAGUGUAGUGGUGAAAUACGUAGAGAUUGGGAAGAACACCAGUGGCGAAGGCGGCUAUCUGGACGGUUUCUGACGCUAAGACGCGAAAGCGUGGGGAGCAAACAGG